RNAcentral lists this ribosomal RNA (433 nucleotides) under uncultured bacterium. RNAcentral's name for it is "partial 16S ribosomal RNA". It matches the Rfam family "Bacterial small subunit ribosomal RNA", at positions 29 to 507 of the family's 1533-position model. The record is from RNAcentral.
AACGAACGCUGGCGGCAUGCCUAACACAUGCAAGUCGAACGAGACCUUCGGGUCUAGUGGCGCACGGGUGCGUAACGCGUGGGAACCUGCCCUUAGGUUCGGAAUAACUCCCCGAAAGGGGUGCUAAUACCGGAUAAUGUCUUCGGACCAAAGAUUUAUCGCCUUUGGAUGGGCCCGCGUUGGAUUAGCUAGUUGGUAGGGUAAAAGCCUACCAAGGCGACGAUCCAUAGCUGGUCUGAGAGGAUGACCAGCCACACUGGGACUGGGACACGGCCCAGACUCCUACGGGAGGCAGCAGUGGGGAAUAUUGGACAAUGGGCGAAAGCCUGAUCCAGCAAUGCCGCGUGAGUGAUGAAGGCCUUAGGGUUGUAAAGCUCUUUUACCCGGGAUGAUAAUGACAGUACCGGGAGAAUAAGCUCCGGCUAACUCCGUG